GCUACGGGUGGCAGCAGUGAGGAAUAUUGGUCAAUGGCCGAGAGGCUGAACCAGCCAAGUCGCGUGAGGGAAGACGGCCCUACGGGUUGUAAACCUCUUUUGUCGGGGAGCAAAGCGAACCACGUGUGGUUCAUUGAGAGUACCCGAAGAAAAAGCAUCGGCUAACUCCGUCCCAGCAGCCGCGGUAAUACGGAGGAUGCGAGCGUUAUCCGGAUUUAUGGGGUUUCUAGGGUGCGCAGGCGGAGGUGCAAGUCACAGGUCAAAUGGCGGGGCUCAACCCCGUACUGCCGUUGAAACUGCAUCCCUUGAGUGCGCGAGAAGUAUGCGGAAUGCGUGGUGUAGCGGUGAAAUGCAUAGAUAUCACGCAGAACUCCGAUUGCGAAGGCAGCAUACCGGCGCGCAACUGACGCUCAUGCACGAAAGCGUGGGUAUCGAACAGGAUUAGAUACCCGGGUAGUC
Molecule: ribosomal RNA, 459 nt
Filed under: uncultured bacterium
Lineage: Bacteria
Description: partial 16S ribosomal RNA
Rfam family: Bacterial small subunit ribosomal RNA
Source: RNAcentral